AGUGAACGCUGGCGGUAGGCCUAACACAUGCAAGUCGAACGGCAGCACAGGAGAGCUUGCUCUCUGGGUGGCGAGUGGCGGACGGGUGAGGAAUACAUCGGAAUCUACUUUUUCGUGGGGGAUAACGUAGGGAAACCUACGCUAAUACCGCAUACGACCUACGGGUGAAAGCAGGGGAUCUUCGGACCUUGCGCGAUUGAAUGAGCUGAUGUCGGAUUAGCUAGUUGGCGGGGUAAAGGCCCACCAAGGCGACGAUCCGUAGCUGGUCUGAGAGGAUGAUCAGCCACACUGGAACUGAGACACGGUCCAGACUCCUACGGGAGGCAGCAGUGGGGAAUAUUGGACAAUGGGCGCAAGCCUGAUCCAGCCAUACCGCGUGGGUGAAGAAGGCCUUCGGGUUGUAAAGCCCUUUUGUUGGGAAAGAAAUCCAGCUGGUUAAUACCCGGUUGGGAUGACGGUACCCAAAGAAUAAGCACCGGCUAACUUCGUGCCAGCCGCCGCGGUAA
Molecule: ribosomal RNA, 506 nt
Filed under: uncultured bacterium
Lineage: Bacteria
Description: partial 16S ribosomal RNA
Rfam family: Bacterial small subunit ribosomal RNA
Source: RNAcentral